This 102-nucleotide non-coding RNA is filed under the name unclassified sequences. The record is from Rfam.
ACCGGCACGGGACGCACAGAUCCCCGGACCGCACGACGGUCGCCUUGGCGGUGCAAGCCGCCGAGUCCGGGAGGAGCGAGUGGCGAGACCGACCCGACCGAC